Molecule: RNA transcript, 816 nt
Organism: Argentina anserina (silverweed cinquefoil)
Lineage: Eukaryota; Viridiplantae; Streptophyta; Magnoliopsida; Rosales; Rosaceae
Gene name: double-stranded RNA-binding protein 1-like
Exons: 5
Source: RefSeq, a predicted model, not a curated record
UCUCUCUCACCCUGAAAACCACUUCCCAUUGCUCGAUCACAUUGCCAUGAACUUGAACAAAUGCAAGCUCCAGGAGCUUUGCCAAUCCAAAGGAUGGGCCAUGCCCCAUUACAGCGGCUUCAGCCAAGGCCCCCCUCACCUCUCCGCCUCUGUCCUCGUCCUCGGCUUCACCUUCCACACCAAGACUCCCUUUUUCUCUAAGAGAGACGCCGAGUGCUCUGCUGCUGGCUUGGCCCUGGACUACUUCGACCAAAACCCACUACCCAAACGCCCCAAGUCUCUCUCUUUCCCUCUUCAACCUUCUCCCUUGGCUUCACUUCCUCCACCUUCACCGCCAGGAAUGAUGUAUCUCACGUACAAGGACAAUGAGGUGUGGAAUGAGACAACUAGCGGAUAGGGAGCAAAUGAUUAUUAUGAACUGGAGCUGAAGUUUGCGGAAGAGAGAAAGCAAUGGCAAAGAGAAAAGCAUCAGCUUCAACUAAGGAACAUGGAAUUGGAGAAUCAGAUUGAUAUAAAAAGGAAUGAGCUGCCAGAGCUGGAGCACUGCCACAUGAAGAUGCAGCUCAUGAAUGAAAAAGCAGAAUCAGAGCAGCAGAGAGCUGAAAAUCUGAUAUUGCUGGCAGAAAAGAGACAGGUCUGUAUUCUUAUAUCUUUGUUGAUAAUUUCGUUGUGAAUAUGUCAUUUUGAUGACGAGAUUAUAUAUCGAGCAUGUGAUUUGAUUUGUACAAUAUGACAUGAUGAUUAUUGUAUGUGGUUUUAACAUAGAGAUUGUUAAAACGUUUUUGUCUCGGACGCAUUUUGUCUUCGGACGUGAUU